AUUAACGCUGGCGGCAUGCCUAAUACAUGCAAAUCGAACGAAGCCUUUUGGCUUAGUGGUGAACAGGUGAGUAACACGUAUCCAAUCUACCCUUAAGUUUGGGGUAACUAGUCGAAAGAUUAGCUAAUACCGGAUAAUAACAUUCACUUGCAUGAGUGAAUGUGGAAAGUUGCGUUUGCAACGCUUUUGGAUGAGGGUGCGACGUAUCAGAUAGUUGGUGAGGUAACGGCUCACCAAGUCAUUGACGCGUAGCUGUACUGGGAGGUAGAACAGCCACAAUGGGGCUGAGACACGGCCCAU
Molecule: ribosomal RNA, 300 nt
Filed under: uncultured bacterium
Lineage: Bacteria
Description: bacterial SSU rRNA
Rfam family: Bacterial small subunit ribosomal RNA
Source: RNAcentral